Molecule: long non-coding RNA, 1371 nt
Organism: Brassica napus (rape)
Lineage: Eukaryota; Viridiplantae; Streptophyta; Magnoliopsida; Brassicales; Brassicaceae
Exons: 2
Source: RefSeq, a predicted model, not a curated record
GCCUGAACAGCGGCUAAACAACCCACUUACGAUUUUAGAACAGGAUUGAGCCUAAGGCUGAUAUGACGGUCUGUGUUUUAUUCGCAGGAAAAGAUAAAUGUCAAGUUUCCGAAGAUAAUCAUGAAGGGUGACGAAAAAUGGAAAAACCCGUCUCGCGAUGAAUCCGGCCCAGGAAAAUGUGCAAACCGACCUAGAGAGAGUAUAUGAGGAUGGCUUAAGGCGAUGAGCAGAGGAGAGCUUUCUCAGAGCAAACUUAAUACUUAGAGCAAUUUAUGCAUUUUUCCGUUUUUACUAUCGAGCUGCGACUCGACUAGGUUAGAACUUAGGUGGCUAGACUAGCGAACGUACCGACAGCUCUCAUGGCUUAGGAUCUUACCUGUUGUUCACGUUUAAACGCGAAUUCGGAAAUAAGACCUCGUUGUUCUCUUUUCGCUCUUUUACGAUUUAUUACUUUCGACUCUUUCAUAUUGAUUGUGUUGUGCGUGGCCCAGCAGAUAACCGGGACCUUCAGAGAAUGCUAGGUUAGCUUAGCUUUCUUCCGAUUAACAAAUUUUGAUGGUGUGAAUUCCGGUUCCCACAACGCUCUAACGCAGUUUUUGGGUGAAAAGACUAAAAAUGCCUUCUUAAAAGCGUAACCGGUGAGUUGAAUUUUAGUUAGGAUAUUUUUAUUUAGUUGGAUUUCAAAAUUUUAAAAGAGAAACUAGUGGUGGACCCAAAAAUGAUUAAACAUGACUUUAUAUAACUACUAGGGUCCACUUCUUUACAUCUUCUCGGCUUCUUACUUUUUUUUUUUUCUUCAGAUCUGGUUUUUUUGUUGUCCUUUGGUAGAUGACGAAGAUGAAGAAUAAAAUGAGGACAGAGAGACGACGACAAAGACAGCGGCAACAAUGAGGACAUAGACGAUGACAACGCCAUAGCACCAUGAUUCCACAAAGCUCUCGGCGGAGCUCCGCUAACGUCUCCAUCACCUUUCACCCCCGGUGGACGAUCUGUCUUCUUCUGAUAUGGAAACUCGGUUCAACCAGAAAACAAUCGCUGACAUGCUCCUCCGCCAUGAUGAGCUCUUCAGAUUCGUAUGCUUUGCAAAUCUAUCAUUUACAUGUUGGAUCUCAAUAAAGAUCUUCAUUUUGUGCUGCUGAUUUGCUUGUGAUGCUAUGGAAAUCAUCAGGGAAACUAGGUGUUCUUGCUCCCCCUGUAAAUUUACUUAUUAGGACACUCCCAUGUAGAUAUCACACCUUAUAUCUUGUGCUUUUAAAUGUUUUUGUUCUGGUUUUUUCUGUUACAGCUUUUUGAUAUUAUGUGUAUAUGAAUGCUUUGAACAUUUGCAAUACCAUAUUUGCAUUUUUAAAAACCAAAAUUGUUACCCGCAUA